UUGCCUGUUUCAUAAUUAUUAGAUUUAUUAGAACCUUUGUAUAAGGCUAACAGGAUAGGAUAAAAAGAAGUAUGGAAAUGAGUGAUAUUCUGUACAAAAAAAUCUAUUAAUUUCAGAUAUCUUUUGUAUACAUAUAAAAAUACACAUGACGGAAUAUGAUAACUGAAACAAACGAUCAAUCUUAUAAUAACCAGACUUAAUACAAGUGAACCAUUCAGCAAAUUAAAUAUCUGUUAUCAAAAUAAAGUUGGGGGCCGAUCCGGAUUUCAUUUGAUUGUUUUUUAAUGUGUCACAUUUCUCCUCAAUUUCUCUGAUAUUAUUACAUACAAAUAUAUCAUAUAUUAUUUACAUUGCUAUUAACGUGUUUUGUUUUACUUUAGUGUUUUAAACGUGUUAUACAAACUGACAUUAUCACUACUACUUCUAAAUUACGUAUGAUCUUUUAAUUUCUUGUAACAUGCAUUCUUAUAUGUCAUUUUAGGCUGCAGUUUAAUUCUGUAUGUGGUAAACAUUUGGGCCUACCGUGAGCCGAAAGUAUGCUAAGCGUUUUUACCGCCAAGUAAUUCAAUACACUGUCACGGCAUAUACUUCAAGUAUGUGAGUUUGAAAUUAAACAGAACGUGAGACAGAGGAACAAUGUAGAGGUAAUAUUCUGUACAACACAAUCAAUUUAUUUUUGAUUUUCUUACUGCAGUGUCAAGUAUCAGCAGUAUCUAUAAAUAUACUCUAUACACAUGUAUGACGGAAUACAAAAAACAAACGAUCAAUCUCAUGAUAAUCAGACUCUCAUCAAGCAGUAAAACAAGUGUGAUAUUUAUAGGUCUUCCGUGUUUAGUAAAAAUCUCUGUUAGUCCUUUGCUACUUCUUACAACGACAGCACUUCAGAUUUAAUCCUCAUCUUUACUCAUGUUGUUGAACUGUGUAUGGGUCCACAUGCGUCAGUCUAAUGCACAUAGCCUCCCAAUCUGCCAUAUCCGCCGAGUCCGUGCCCUCCGUUGCCAAGACCUCCGUAGCCAAGCCCGGAAGAUCCGUAGCCAAGCCCGUUUCCUCCGUAUCCAAGUCCGUAUCCUCCGUAUCCAAGUCCGUGUCCGUAUCCUCCUCUGUAUCCA
This is a long non-coding RNA of Priapulus caudatus, 1109 nucleotides long. RefSeq lists it as uncharacterized. Lineage: Eukaryota; Metazoa; Priapulida; Priapulimorpha; Priapulimorphida; Priapulidae. The record is from RefSeq and is a predicted model, not a curated record. The transcript has 3 exons.